AUACCUACGACGCUUAUGGUACUUACGAAGAACUCCAGCAUUUCACUGAAGCAAUGCGAAGAUUUGAUGUCGGUGUUAUGGAUAAACUUCCAACAGAUAACUUUAAACUUGUUUAUGAGACUAUUUUAAAGUUUCACGAUGAAGCCGAAGAGAAGGUGAGAAAGGAAGGGAGAUCCUAUGGAGUUUUCUACACUAAAAAUGAGUCUGUCAAGCUUUCAUAGGAAUGGAAGAAGCAGAUGAAAUUGCAUAUCAAUGGCUGAUCAAUACUGAUAACAAAGUUCAUAAAGCCCUCAACAUAAUUGCUCGUCUCUACGAUGAUUUAGCGACUAAUGAGGAUGAAGAAAAGAGAGGACUGGUUUGUGGAACCAGUUGUUACAUGAAACAAUAUGGUGUUACAAGAAAGGAAGCGGUCGAAGCUUACAGUGAAAUGAUUGAGGUUGCUUGGAAAGACAUGAACGAAGCUUGUCUGAAACCAAUGCCCGUCUCAAACAAAAUCGCGCUACGAGCUCUUAGUUUUGCACGUUCAAUGGACGUUUUUUACAAGGAAUGCGAUGGAUUUGGAAGCCCCGAAAAAUCCAUGAAAGAUCUCAUCGCCAAAUUGCUCAUUCAACCCAUUCCCCUCUAACAACACACGCCACGAAGAGGAGCUGCCAUUAGGUGGGUUGUAUGGGGAUGAAGUCACCGAGCCAUUAGUGGGAAUUCCAUAUAUUUUGUGUUUACUCUCAACUCUAAAUGAAUUAUUUUUAGUUUACAUUAAUUUACUAUGGGUGUUUUGUAAUCUUGUCGUCUUUGUUGGAUUUCUCCAAGUCUUUCUAUAUUUGUUAUCUUUUAGCAAAUAAAAAAUAAAAAAAUUCUACUAUUAA
This is an RNA transcript of Gossypium arboreum, 863 nucleotides long. It is a transcript of the gene named vetispiradiene synthase 2-like, with no coding region annotated. The record is from RefSeq and is a predicted model, not a curated record. Lineage: Eukaryota; Viridiplantae; Streptophyta; Magnoliopsida; Malvales; Malvaceae. The transcript is spliced from 4 exons.